Long non-coding RNA from Struthio camelus australis, 2890 nucleotides. NCBI's taxonomy places the organism in Eukaryota, Metazoa, Chordata, Aves, Struthioniformes, Struthionidae. The record is from Ensembl.
AUGAUUUGGUCUCCUGAAUUUACAAAAGCACCAAUAUUACCCUCAAUGAGUUGGUCAUCUUCAGUAAUAUGUUCUUUCUUGACAAUUUCCACUACAGCGCUGUCACUGCCCUCCACCAGCCCACUGUCUUCUGCUGGUCCUGGCAGCGGUGAUGCAGUGUCUUCCCCUGGCGCUGGCAGCGAAAGCCCGGUGCUCUCCUCUCGCCAUGCAGGCGGCAGCCCCGUGCUCUCCUCCGAUCCCAAAGGCAGGGGCUCAGUGCCCUCCGGCUCCUCCCUUUUGCUAACUGAAUCAAUCUUUUCUUCCAGUGCUGGAAUGAGAAUGGCCUCCUCUUCUGGGAGAUGCUCUCCUGGUUUUGAGUCCUCGGAGGCAAGACUUGCAUCUUCUGCUGGGUCCAGCUUUGUCUGGUCAGGAAAAACAGUGGAAAGAACUUUCUCAUACCAGAGGAUGAGGCAUGCUUGAGCACACUACCCCCAGUGCAGCAACAUACUACCUGCGACCAACGGAAGGAAGAAUAAGUGAACGAAAAUUGCUGAGGCUGACUUUGCUAUCCUACCCGUUAGUAAUGCUCUGACUGUUGCCAACCUCAGAAAAACUUCAGGAAUUUGAUUAGUAAAAAGAGAAAAGCAAACCUUUUUUGCCUCUAUUUCUUAAAACAAAAAAUGGUUUGUAUUUUUUAAUGUUAAACUAGCAUACAUACUACACUUUUUCUAACUAAACAUUCAACAACAGAGCGCCUGCACUAACCUAAACUUCUGAUUCUAAUUUCUUUGAUCAAAUUAUUGGCUAAGUAAAGCAAUUGAUCUUUUCAGUAGACAAAAUUUAAGGCCAGAAAAAGGCAAAAUUCCUCUGACAGGUAUCUGAUUGUUGGACGGCUCAAAAGGAACUAUGUAUGCCUAUCAGACUGAUUAAAUAACUUUCUGAUUACAUUCAGUUUGACAACAGCUUGUACUUAACCUUCUCACAAGGAAUGCCAAGAUGAAAACACUCACUGGGAGUUUGUGCACAAAAUCUGUUAAUAUAGUAAUUACAAGAUCUAGACUAAUUGUAUUUUCUGGGAAAAUGAUGAUUGUGGUGUUAAAGCCUGUAAGCAGAAGAGCGUGAUGCUUCCUGCACAACGUACGAGUGAUUCAGAAGCCAUCACCAGCGCCGUGAGCAGCAGCCGCCCAGCACGGCCAUCAGAAAGCGCUGCUGCGCUGGUGGCAGCUCUUCCCGGGCUGGUUCCUCCCCCUGCUCGAAAUUCAGAUUUACCUUCACAGCCGCUCUGGGAGAGGUGACUCAAGACCUCCCUCUCAGACUAUUCAGCAUGGGGAUUUAGCACCUACUAUGGCAGUCAGAGGGCAGCAGGCACUUAAAUGAGUUUGUGGUCCUUGUCCUCAGUUACCAGGAAGUUAAUUUAAUCUGUAUGCUAGCUGGAUGUCAGCAAAGCUAACAGUCACAGGGCAGAGCUUCAAGCAUUUGGUAUGUUUGUUGAAAAUGUUAUUAAGAGUAUUGAUAUUAGUGAUAUCAUGGUCUGCUUGUAACACUGUGUUGGGAUUGCGCGUGUUACAACAUCACAGCAGCAUGAUGAAGGAAUAGCGAAAUCUGCCAGCUUAACUUCUCCUUGCAUGUUUGCCGCCUAGCAACACUCUAAAAAAAAGUCCAAAUUGUAAAAAUUUGUGGUUAUGACUUUAAAAAAGCAGAUGGACAGCUCUUAAAGACAUAAGAAACAAACACAUUAAAUAGAAGGACUGUUUAUACAAAUCAGAUUUGUUGCUAUGUAGAGGUACAGUUGUUUAUAACGCAACUCGAAAAAAGGAGGCAAGAUAAGCUAUGCAAGCCAGGUCCGCCAUCCGCCUGGCCCAGCAGCCCGCCUCUGCCAGUGGCCAAGGGCAGGAGGCGCCGGCACUCACCCGGUGGCAGUUGGCUGGGGACAGUCUUCUGUGAUUCUGUCCAAACCCUUUAUAUCCAUUUAUGCUCUCGGCCUCCAUAGUCAUCAACGGCAAUGAGUUCUGCAGCUUACUGAUACCGUCUGGAAAACUUAAUUUUUGCUUGUUUUAAGCCUGCUACUAGUAAUUUCAGCAAGUGACAUAGUUCUUAUGUUACAAGAAACAGCCAAUUAUAUAUCCAUAUUUACCUUCUCAAGGCCUCUAUCGCACCCUAUCUUCCAGGCACUGUUUCCUAAUAUGAAGCUCAGUCUGAAAUCACUUUCUGAAAACAGACACCCAGUCAAAAUACCAGUAAAUAAGUAUUAAACUUGGCAAGAAACUGUGCAUAGUGUUUUCACAGGACAAGCUCUUUCUAGGCAGAGUUCUUGGUGAUUAUGGGCUUAGGGCCCACAUUUUCCAAAGGGAUCGGUGACUACAUGCAUGUUCGUGCUGUGCUCAACUUUGGACAGCCUCUAGGGCUGGGCAGCAACACCUUGUGGAAAUCACACACCUUGAAGAAGUCUCACACUGGCUCGUCCAAGGGUGGCUGGAAAAGUACUAUGUACUAAGAGGCAAGAGACUUGAUCUUUUCUCGUUUUAUUUUUUAGACCUUUACACACUUCUGACACCUUCCCCUUGCUUAGUACCCGGUAGACAAGGAGCAUUUAAAACUCGGACAGAGAAAUAAGUGAGCCCUGAAAGCUAGCGUCUUAUAUGGAGUUUUCAAUUUGUGUUACCCAGUAAAAGAAACUUAAUUCAAAAAAAUUAUUCUUAAGAGUCCCCUGCAGUUCCUCUAAACAUCAGGCAUGUAAUGUUCAGCUAGCACUCUCUUCAGCAAGGUUCUUUAUAUAAAUUGGAUUAUAAAACACUACUAUGCAAUGCAAGAUCCACACUGCUGGAAACCUUUAAAGCAUUCCUCUGCUCUCAUUUAAAAUACAAAGACUUCUCUUAUACAGAAGAAAUAAAUCCUCCUGGUAACUUGUUCA